This 250-nucleotide ribosomal RNA is filed under the name uncultured bacterium. RNAcentral describes it as "partial 16S ribosomal RNA". It matches the Rfam family "Bacterial small subunit ribosomal RNA", at positions 86 to 339 of the family's 1533-position model. The record is from RNAcentral.
UGGCGACGAGUGGCGAACGGGUGAGUAAUGCAUCGGAACGUGCCCAGUAGUGGGGGAUAGCUCGGCGAAAGCCGGAUUAAUACCGCAUACGCCCUAAGGGGGAAAGGGGGGGAUCGCAAGACCUCUCACUAUUGGAGCGGCCGAUGGCUGAUUAGCUAGUUGGUGGGGUAAAGGCCUACCAAGGCUACGAUCAGUCGCUGGUCUGAGAGGACGACCAGCCACACUGGGACUGAGACACGGCCCAGACUCC